Long non-coding RNA from Pongo pygmaeus (Bornean orangutan), 5089 nucleotides. RefSeq lists it as uncharacterized. The record is from RefSeq and is a predicted model, not a curated record. The transcript has 3 exons. Lineage: Eukaryota; Metazoa; Chordata; Mammalia; Primates; Hominidae.
CUUCUCCCGCGAACCCACACUCACAAAGAGCCGAGGGGAGAGAGGGUGCGCAGACGGCCAGCGCGGCCGUGCCAGGGACAUACUGGAGACAGGAAGUGGCUGAGAGGGGGAGAGAGAGUUAGAGAGAGACGGCCACGGAGGACACGGGGACGGGAAAGUCUGAGAGACGGGGAGAGCCUGACCCGGCGGGACACAGGCAAAAAGAAACACGCGAGCCAGGCAGACGCAGCAGAAACGUGCCUGGUACUGGAUAGGAACUUCAUGGAAUGGAGCUAAUGGGCCGUACGUAGGGCAGGUUUGAGUCUUGCCACCCUGGAGCGGAAGGUGGAGAGUAGGGAUAAGGGGGUGGAGCACCUGAUUCCAAUCUUGCCGCAGGGAAGAAGAGUCUGUGAAGAAGUGCGUGAUGACUGUGUGUCCCCCCAACCCAGAAAUUGGCAUUUGGGAGGGGUGGAUAUGGUUGGGACUGGGGAGCCUUGAUCUUACUGCUCUUGGUUGAGUUGGUGUCCAAUAGACAGUUUUAGAGGUUAGAGCAGUGGGAGUCACUGGGGACUGGGGACGGGAGAGGUGGGGGUGGGGGAGGCCAGGCAGGAAUGAGUAGGGAGGCACUGGGAGGAGGGGAGAGGCAAGAGUUAGGGGAAUACCGAGGAGAGUGGCAGGGAUUGGAGGCUCCUGGAGAAAGGGCAAGGCUGAAGGUUGUCCCAUGUAUUUUGGCCAGAUUUGAUUAUGUAAUCGAGAUACACGAGAUAAUUAAGUGUGUUCAUGUCUCUGGAGCCUUCAACCAGCUCUUUUAACAUCUUGCUCUUCCCAGCAUUCCUUAGGGUCUUUGGCUGGGCUCUGGAAUGGAUGCCGUGGGAGUACCUUUACCUAAGCUCUAAAGUUACCAAUAGAGAGACUGGGACUCAAAGAGGAACUUGAUUGGACCCCAGAGAGGUGAGGGGUAAGGGUUAGAACCUCACACAUGCUGGUUUUGCUGCUGCCUGGCAGGCCCAUGGGAAGAACUUUAGAGGUUCCAAGGAAUUGGAAAAGGGUCACAAGAUGGGUGGCCAAACUCCCAGCUCAGGCUUGAUUCCUACUCUCAAUGUGGGGAUAGUGGGGAAGGGAGCUGCAGGAGGGAAGCUGAUGAGAAAAGCUGAGAAUGAGAAGUUAUACAGGAGGUAGCUUGGUGGGAGUGAAACAAAAAUGAGUGGUUCAUGGGCCAGCCAGGCAUCCUGAUUUCCAGCUCACAGCAGCAGGAGCUUCAGAGAGGAAGGGGAGGAGGAGAAAGCCCAGUUGAUGUUAGUAAAGGUCAAUUUCAGGAGCACCUCUGACCUCCCUCCACACAGGUUUUCUUACCUUGACUAUGCAGAGGGUGGUCCAUCUUGGCACUGAAGGUGGAACCCCCUCUUCCAUGGUCUGGGGUGACCCCAUGCCUGUAACUGAAUGUGCUCAGAUCCUUGGGGUGCGGGGACUGUAGGGGGAGGAUUUGAAGGUGUGGGACUGUCCUGGCUGGAGACCACUGGGUCAAGAGAACUCCAGUAGAGGGUUUGGGUGCUGGGAACCAGGAAGAGUGGGGGAAGGGGCAGAGCCAACUCCAGAGGCGGAUCUCCUGGCUGAGGACAGAGGGUGUAUUGUCCAAGCAGGAGGUUGCUGCAGCUGGGCAGGGAGCAGCUCAGCUCGCCUCUUCCAAAUUUCUUUUGGGGGAGGGUAAGGGAAGGCAAGCCCCCCUUUACUUGUGGCCCUGGGGGCUACAAUGGUUGCUGAGAAACAAGGCUUAUUUGACAAAUAAUGCUUCCCAGGAGCAGAUGUGUAGCUCUCUCACUUCCUGAGAAACCAGAUGCUGUGAGCUCGCUUAGCACUUGAGGCGACGCCCUCAGCACGAACUGGGACCCUAGUGCCUUGGGAUCCAGAGUAUAGUACUUGAUUCUAUUGAGAAGAAACGAGGCUAAUGUGGACUGGGAGACACACGGGACCUAACCAGCCUCAAGUUAGCCCUUUUGAAGUAGGAUGCUGCACCUGCACUUUCCCCCUACUUGUCCAGUAGUUCAAGAUUUACAAGAUGUUGGCAAUGAGGGCUGACCAGUCCUGGGUCCAUUCCUGCAGCUGGGGGGCUUCUGGGUGGACCCACACUUUUUUUUUGACAGGGUCUUGCUCUGUUGCCCAGGCUGGAGUGUAGUGGUGUGAUCACAGCUCACUGCAGCCUUGACCUCCUGGGUUCAAGUGAUCUUUCCUCCCAAGUAGCUGCGACUAUGGGCAUACACCACCAUACCUGGAUAAUUUUUCUAUUUUUUUUGUAGAGACAGGGUGUUGUCAUGUUGCCCUGACUGGUCUCAAACUCCUAGGCUCAAGCGAUUCUCCUGCCUUAUCCUCCCAAAGUGCUGGGAUUACAGGUGUGAGCAACCAUGCACGGCUAACACACCUUUUUUUUUUUUUUUUUUUUUUUUGAGACAGAGUCUCGCUCUGUCACCCAGGCUGGAAGUGCAGUGGUGCGAUCCCGGUCCACUGCAACCUCCACUUCCUGGGUUCAAGCGAUUCUUCUGCCUCAGCCUCCUGAGUAGCUGGGACUACAGGUGUGCACCACCACACCUGGCUAAUUUUUGUAUUUUUAGUAGAGACGGGGUUUCACCAUAUUGGCCAGGCUGGUCUAGAACUCCUGACCACAUGAUCUGCCUGCCUUGGCCUCCUGACAUGCUGGGAUUACAGCUGUGAGCCAUGGCACCUGGCCACACACAUCUUUUUAAAUUUAAAUGAGGAUGUGGCCAUAUUAGAGCCCAGGUUUUCUCUGACUUUUAGAGUACCUUUUGGGACAUAGGGCCUUCCUCUCUACCCUUUCUGUACACAGCCAUCAUGAACCUUUCAACAAGCCUUUCCUGUUUUUAUGUUCCUUCUUUCCAUCAUUUACCUAGACCUCAUUAUUGCACAGCUUAGAGUGGCUUGAAACAAAGGCUUGGAGAAUGUGAGUGAAACUGAUUCCUGUGGUGGAGAGGCAGUGAAAAAGCAUUACCUUGUAGGUUCCCAGGCAGCCUGGACAAUAGGGGGACCUAAACCCACAUUGAAAAGCCUUCACAGCUGAGUCUCAUAGCCCUCAACUUUACCAGUUUUGGAGAACAGAGAUAAAUGCACUGGCCAGAAACUAGAAGAGCAGCUGCUCCAGUUGGCUGGGAAAUGUCAUUUGUAUUAACUGACUCAUCUUGGCUCUUAAAUCCCCAAAAUUGUUGACUGAGGCUUCCCGGGCUCCUUUCUAUGUAUGCUCCACCUCCUUGUGACAUUAGGGAUUCUCUGCCACCGUCCUAACCCCUUUCCUGCCUUGCAACAAUGACCAGUCUGUCCCUAGCUGUUUGGAAAAUUCCCACUGAGUCUGUGAGCCUCUGUUCUGGUAACCUCGACCAGCCUGCCACCAGUAUCAUCUCUGGUCCACCAGUGCGGUGUGACUCCAGGGAGCAGCAUCUCUCCAAAUUGCUGAAGUGAGGGAGGGAGAUUAUGAGGGAACUGCCCCAAGGACACAAGGAUUCAUUCUUAGAGUUCCCACAACUUGAUUAAAAUAAACAGUACAGGAAAUAGACUGCAGGCAUUCAGGUGAUUAAAAAAUUUAACACCAGGGGAAAAAAAAAGAAGCCAGAGGGGAGCUGGGAUACAAACUCUAUCAUUGGGCCUCAAUAACACUGGAACAGAUUCCCUUGUAACCCCACCCUCUGAUCUUGGACAAUAUGGUAUCCAAUACUGAAUGAAAACUUCAGAGAUGGUAGGGGAAGGAGGAGCGGGUGGUCAAUGACUCCAGUAAAAACCACUGGGAGUGCAGAGUAUAUGUCAAAGAAUUUCAGCAUUACAAUGAACUUUAAAGAUCAGAUUUAUUUGGAGAAAACAAAAAACCCACAACCCAAAGGAUGGGAUUUUACAUCAAGACAUCUCCCAGGUAAUAAGUCUACAGAUUACAAAUCAUUUUCAUAGAAGAUAUUUUUGUACAAAUUUUACAUGUAUUCAGGAGCGGGACAUUAAUCAAUCCCUGUUUCUAUUUUAAUAGGGGAGACAAGGUAGGGGAGAGGGAAAAACAGUUUUGGAUAUAACUGUUUGGAAGGAGAGUAGACAUGAAGAGGGCAAACCCUAGCUUUUCAUUAUCUACAAUCAAUAGUUUUUUUUUCUUUAAAAAAAAAAAAAUCUUCAACACUCUUUAAAAGCCCACUUCUUAGCUACUGGCCAAUCCACACCAAUUAUUUAAAUUCACUUAGUACACACCUUUGUCCACUGGGUAAAUUAUAUUCAUUAUGCCCACUGCUGCAGCACGCAUAAACCAACACCCCUGCAUGGCUGAACAGGGCCUAAUCUAGGACUGAUGGGAGAAGGGCUUGCAAACCAAGAUCAAGGUGUCGUUUCUCUGCUAAUACUGUCUACCAAGCUGAUCCCUACAAAAAUGCAUAUAAAAGCAGGCAAGUUUAGCUACUGUGUUGCAAGAGAAACCAGAACCUUGUUAAAUAGUUCUCUCCAUUACCAUUUAUUCUCUCAAGGGAAGCUUAAAAAAAAAACAAAAAACAACACAUUGGUCUGGCCACCUCAUGAAUCCAACAAGCAUUGGUGUGGCAUUUCAGUGGAGAAAGAAACUUGGGGGAAAAACCCCAUCAAGGUUGUAAGAAAGGCUCCCAAUUUAACUGUCCCUGUCCCUAUUUAUCCGCCAUCCAAGACCAUCCAUUAUUCUAGAGCACUCUGAUCUAUAAAAGGGGUCAAAGCAGGAGCAGGCAAGGAGUGAGAACCAAAAGUCAUCAAGAAACCGAUUUGCUUAAGAAAAGCAGCGAUUCUUCCUUUCACAGCUCUCCAUGGCUGAGAGAAAAUGCCCAAGACAUCAUGUAUGUGACUUAGAUACUGCUUUUUGGGAGGUUAAGAGUAGCAUGAAGAACUUAAGAUGACGAUAAGAGUCUAAAUUUUUAGUUUCAAGGUUUCAAUAGAAUGUGGAUAUAUUCAAACUUUCAAAAAGGACUGUUCAGAAAGGGUAAAACUAGGACACAGAAAACACUGGGAAUUACCACGACCCCCAAGUGCUUCCGGCUCCAGGAAAUAACCAUUCAUGUGUUUGCUGGAGGUCACACAAUUUUCCCCUAUUACCUGGUGCAAAAUGACUCAU